Molecule: long non-coding RNA, 560 nt
Filed under: Olea europaea subsp. europaea
Lineage: Eukaryota; Viridiplantae; Streptophyta; Magnoliopsida; Lamiales; Oleaceae
Source: RNAcentral
CUUCAUUCUGCCGAUUUUUCUCUUAACUUUUUCUUUUUCUUUCUUUUUUCUUUUUUUUUUUUUUUCUUUUCUUCAUUUGUUCCUUCUAUUUUCUUUUCAAUUUCUUGGCAUUUUGGAGCAAAUCAAGAGCACAAGAAGGAGAAUAAAUUAAAUGAAGGUGGAGAUUAAUUGACGAACUCAAGAUUCAAGCAAAUCCAACAAAAAAAGGGUUUUAUCUUAAAUCUUGGAUUUUCUUUAUUAUUUUCAAUCAUUUGUAAUAUAUUGGAUGAAUAUUCUCCCUUGUUAUCACAUAUAUAAUAUGGGCUAAUUACUUGAGUUGGGAUUUAUGGAAGUAACUUAACUUAGCUUUUAAUUGAUUUUAAUAUUUGCCCCUUUAAUAUUAAGCCCCUGUUUGAGCUCCAUUUUUUUGGGAAGAAUGAAUUUUUGAAUAGUGUAUUAAUGGAAAAUGUAUGGUUAAAAAUAAGGAAAAAUUUUGGAUUUAUAUGUAAUAUUAUUUUAUUAAAAAUGUGUGGUUGAAAUGAUGUCAAAACACUGUUGAAAAAUGUAUUUUUCAAAACAAU